AGAGUUUGAUCCUGGCUCAGGAUGAACGCUGGCGGCGUGCUUAACACAUGCAAGUCGAACGAAGCGCUAGAGAUUGAUUCUUCGGAAGAUUUCUCUUGUGACUUAGUGGCGGACGGGUGAGUAACGCGUGGGUAACCUGCCUCACACAGGGGGAUAACAGUUGGAAACGACCGCUAAUACCGCAUAACCCGCUAGGGCCGCAUGGCCCGGACGGAAAAGAUUUAUCGGUGUGAGAUGGACCCGCGUUGGAUUAGCUAGUUGGCAGGGUAACGGCCUACCAAGGCGACGAUCCGUAGCCGGCCUGAGAGGGUGAACGGCCACAUUGGGACUGAGACACGGCCCAAACUCCUACGGGAGGCAGCAGUGGGGAAUAUUGCACAAUGGGGGAAACCCUGAUGCAGCGACGCCGCGUGAGUGAAGAAGUAUUUCGGUAUGUAAAGCUCUAUCAGCAGGGAAGAAAAUGACGGUACCUGACUAAGAAGCCCCGGCUAACUACGUGCCAGCAGCCGCGGUAAUACGUAGGGGGCAAGCGUUAUCCGGAUUUACUGGGUGUAAAGGGAGCGUAGACGGUUAAGCAAGUCAGAAGUGAAAGGCUGGGGCUCAACCCCGGGACUGCUUUUGAAACUGUUUAACUAGAGUGCUGGAGAGGUAAGCGGAAUUCCUAGUGUAGCGGUGAAAUGCGUAGAUAUUAGGAGGAACACCAGUGGCGAAGGCGGCCUGCUGGACGACAACUGACGCUGAGGCGCGAAAGCGUGGGGAGCAAACAGGAUUAGAUACCCUGGUAGUCCACGCUGUAAACGAUGAAUACUAGGUGUGGGGGGACUGACCCCUUCCGUGCCGCAGUUAACACAAUAAGUAUUCCACCUGGGGAGUACGACCGCAAGGUUGAAACUCAAAGGAAUUGACGGGGGCCCGCACAAGCAGUGGAUUAUGUGGUUUAAUUCGACGCAACGCGAAGAACCUUACCGGGAUUUGACAUCCUACUAACGAAGUAGAGAUACAUUAGGUGCCCUUCGGGGAAAGUAGAGACAGGUGGUGCAUGGUUGUCGUCAGCUCGUGUCGUGAGAUGUUGGGUUAAGUCCCGCAACGAGCGCAACCCCUAUUGUUAGUUGCUACGAAAGAGCACUCUAGCGAGACUGCCGUUGACAAAACGGAGGAAGGCGGGGACGACGUCAAAUCAUCAUGCCCCUUAUGUCCCGGGCUACACACGUAAUACAAUGGCGAUCAACAGAGGGAAGCAAAGCCGCGAGGCAGAGCAAAUCCCCAAAAGUCGUCUCAGUUCGGAUUGCAGGCUGAAACCCGCCUGCAUGAAGUUGGAAUUGCUAGUAAUCGCGGAUCAGCAUGCCGCGGUGAAUACGUUCCCGGGCCUUGUACACACCGCCCGUCACACCAUGAGAGUCGGGAACACCCGAAGUCCGUAGUCUAGCCGCAAGGAGGGCGCGGCCGAAGGUGGGUUCGAUAAUUGGGGUGAAGUCGUAACAAGGUA
Molecule: ribosomal RNA, 1486 nt
Filed under: metagenome
Description: bacterial SSU rRNA
Rfam family: Bacterial small subunit ribosomal RNA
Source: RNAcentral